CCUGCCUUGGAGUGGGGAAUAACAGCUGGAAACAGCUGCUAAUACCGCAUAAUGCAGUUGGGUCGCAUGGCUCUGACUGCCAAAGAUUUAUCGCUCUGAGAUGGACUCGCGUCUGAUUAGCUAGUUGGCGGGGCAACGGCCCACCAAGGCGACGAUCAGUAGCCGGACUGAGAGGUUGGCCGGCCACAUUGGGACUGAGACACGGCCCAGACUCCUACGGGAGGCAGCAG
Molecule: ribosomal RNA, 230 nt
Filed under: uncultured bacterium
Lineage: Bacteria
Description: partial 16S ribosomal RNA
Rfam family: Bacterial small subunit ribosomal RNA
Source: RNAcentral